This is a long non-coding RNA of Mesoplodon densirostris (Blainville's beaked whale), 698 nucleotides long. RefSeq lists it as uncharacterized. The transcript has 4 exons. NCBI's taxonomy places the organism in Eukaryota, Metazoa, Chordata, Mammalia, Artiodactyla, Ziphiidae. The record is from RefSeq and is a predicted model, not a curated record.
ACCACUUCUUCUUUUUCCACUCAUCUGGUGAUGGACCUUUUGGUUGCUUCCGUGUCUUGGCUAUUGUGAAAAUUCGUGCAGUGCAGCUGUUGAAGCCUGUGCCUUCUCGACUCUGGACUUCUCAGGCUCAUCUAUGGUGCCUCAAAGAGCAGUGUUUCAUUGUUUUCCAUGGCUAAUAUUCCAUUGUGUACAUGGACCACUUCUUCUUUUUCCACUCAUCUGGUGAUGGACCUUUUGGUUGCUUCCGUGUCUUGGCUAUUGUGAAAAUUCGUGCAGUGCAGCUGUUGAAGCCUGUGCCUUCUCGACUCUGGACUUCUCAGGCUCAUCUAUGGUGCCUCAAAGAGCAGUGUUUCAUUGUUUUCCAUGGCUAAUAUUCCAUUGUGUACAUGGACCACUUCUUCUUUUUCCACUCAUCUGGUGAUGGACCUUUUGGUUGCUUCCGUGUCUUGGCUAUUGUGAAAAUUCGUGCAGUGCAGCUGUUGAAGCCUGUGCCUUCUCGACUCUGGACUUCUCAGGCUCAUCUAUGGUGCCUCAAAGAGCAGUGUUUCAUUGUUUUCCAUGGCUAAUAUUCCAUUGUGUACAUGGACCACUUCUUCUUUUUCCACUCAUCUGGUGAUGGACCUUUUGGUUGCUUCCGUGUCUUGGCUAUUGUGAAAAUUCGUGCAGUGCAGCUGUUGAAGCCUGUGCCUUCUCGACUC